GACUUUUAAAAGUUGAUUUGAAGUGAAUUUGAAGUUUGACCUUUCUUUAAUAUUUUAAUUCAAGUUUAUUUUCAAAUAUUAAAAAUGCCAAAAAUAUUUUGUUUAUUUCUUGACUUCCAACCUUCAUCUCACUUUUUUUUUAUGGUUUGACCUUGAUCUCCCCUAUCUUUGGUCAACAUUUGUGGAUUGGUACAUUCCAUUUCACUUAAUGCACUUUAUU
RNAcentral lists this long non-coding RNA (220 nucleotides) under Lathyrus oleraceus (garden pea). Its description in RNAcentral is "Pisum sativum (pea) long non-coding RNA (PSAT_LNC014165)". Lineage: Eukaryota; Viridiplantae; Streptophyta; Magnoliopsida; Fabales; Fabaceae. The record is from RNAcentral.